UUUUAAUAUGGCAGAAAAAGUGCUCUAGAUUUAAAUUCUAUUUAUAAAGAUUUAUUAUUCUUUUAUUAAAAA
RNAcentral lists this transfer RNA (72 nucleotides) under Aphaenogaster famelica. RNAcentral's name for it is "tRNA-Leu". The record is from RNAcentral. Lineage: Eukaryota; Metazoa; Arthropoda; Insecta; Hymenoptera; Formicidae.